AGGCCCUUGCUCAAUGUGAGAUGACACGAAGCAGUUUGGGUAUCGUCAGAAUCAAUGCCGAUGACACUGCUCUGGCUGCACAGAUGGUGGCCUCAACUGGCCUACGGAAUACUGGUGCUGUUGCAAGUGCUCGCGCUGCAAAAAUUUAUGGGCUUGAAAUUCUUGCAGAAAAAAUUCAAGAUGAUGACAAUAAUAUCACUCGCUUUUUGAUACUUGCAAGAGAAUCGAUAAUUCCA
Molecule: long non-coding RNA, 236 nt
Organism: Pyrus x bretschneideri (Chinese white pear)
Lineage: Eukaryota; Viridiplantae; Streptophyta; Magnoliopsida; Rosales; Rosaceae
Exons: 3
Source: RefSeq, a predicted model, not a curated record